UUUCCUGUGGCUCAGUUCGUAGAGCAUUGCUUUAAUAACACAAAGGUUGUGGGUUCAAAUCAGGGAAU
Molecule: non-coding RNA, 68 nt
Organism: Danionella cerebrum
Lineage: Eukaryota; Metazoa; Chordata; Actinopteri; Cypriniformes; Danionidae
Source: the annotation of a GenBank genome assembly